Molecule: ribosomal RNA, 376 nt
Filed under: uncultured Bacteroidota bacterium
Lineage: Bacteria; Pseudomonadati; Bacteroidota
Description: bacterial SSU rRNA
Rfam family: Bacterial small subunit ribosomal RNA
Source: RNAcentral
GCUACAGGCUUAACACAUGCAAGUCGAGGGGUAGCAGGGUAGCAAUACCGCUGACGACCGGCGCACGGGUGAGUAACACGUAUCCAACCUUCCCAUAACUCGGGGAUAGCCUUUCGAAAGAAAGAUUAAUACCCGAUAGUACUUAUAUAAGGCAUCUUAAAUAAGUUAAAGAUUUAUUGGUUAUGGAUGGGGAUGCGUUCCAUUAGAUAGUUGGUGAGGUAACGGCUCACCAAGUCUUCGAUGGAUAGGGGUUCUGAGAGGAAGGUCCCCCACAUUGGUACUGAGACACGGACCAAACUCCUACGGGAGGCAGCAGUGAGGAAUAUUGGUCAAUGGGCGAGAGCCUGAAUCAGCCAAGUAGCGUGAAGGAUGACGG